GUCUUUUAUCAUGCUACCUUGGAUUCAUCUUGUCUCUGUUUUUGGAAGCUAAGUAGGAUUGGGCCUGAUUAGUAUUUGAAUGGGAUAAAGCCUUUUUAAAAUUCAGGUUAUAGAUGAGU
This 119-nucleotide ribosomal RNA is filed under the name Microtus ochrogaster (prairie vole). Lineage: Eukaryota; Metazoa; Chordata; Mammalia; Rodentia; Cricetidae. The record is from RNAcentral.